GUGAGGAAUAUUGGGCAAUGCCCGCAAGGGUGACCCAGCAACGCCGCGUGGAGGAUGAAUGUCGUAAGAUUGUAAACUCCUGUUAGAGGGGAAGAAUAGUACCGGUUGGACCGGUAUAUGACUGUACCCUCAGAGAAAGCCCCGGCUAACUACGUGCCAGCAGCCGCGGUAAUACGUAGGGGGCAAGCGUUGUCCGGAUUUACUGGGUGUAAAGGGCGCGCAGGCGGGAUAAAAAGUCAGUGGUGAAAUCCUACAGCUUAACUGUAGAACUGCCUUUGAUACUUUUAUUCUUGAGUUCGGGAGAGAGAGACGGAAUUCCAGGUGUAGUGGUGAAAUACGUAGAUAUCUGGAAGAACACCAGUUGCGAAGGCGGUCUCUUGAUCCGACACUGACGCUGAGGCGCGAAAGCGUGGGGAGCAAACA
Molecule: ribosomal RNA, 423 nt
Filed under: uncultured bacterium
Lineage: Bacteria
Description: bacterial SSU rRNA
Rfam family: Bacterial small subunit ribosomal RNA
Source: RNAcentral